UGCCAGCAGCCGCGGUAAUACGGAGUGUGCAAGCGUUACUCGGAAUCACUGGGCAUAAAGAGCACGUAGGCGGGUAGGAAAGUCGGCCGUGAAAGCCCUUGGCUCAACCGAGGAACUGCGACCGAAACUGUUUGCCUUGAGGACAAGAGGGGAGAGCGGAACUUCUGGUGGAGCGGUGAAAUGCGUAGAUAUCAGAAGGAACACCGGUGGUGAAAACGGCUCUCUGGCUUGUUUCUGACGCUGAGGUGCGAAAGCUAGGGUAGCGAACGGGAUUAGAUA
RNAcentral lists this ribosomal RNA (279 nucleotides) under uncultured bacterium. RNAcentral describes it as "partial 16S ribosomal RNA". It matches the Rfam family "Bacterial small subunit ribosomal RNA", at positions 506 to 784 of the family's 1533-position model. The record is from RNAcentral.